This is a long non-coding RNA of Sarcophilus harrisii (Tasmanian devil), 2733 nucleotides long. The record is from Ensembl. NCBI's taxonomy places the organism in Eukaryota, Metazoa, Chordata, Mammalia, Dasyuromorphia, Dasyuridae.
AUGGAUUCUUCACUUCCGACUUGAAUAUCCUGUUUUCAAUCAUUCUUUUCCUAGACCUGUCUGUAGCUUUUGAUACUUAGUUGUUGUUUAGUUAUGACUGACUCUUUGUAACUCCAUGGACUAAUACACACAAUACUGUCUGUGAGGUUUGGAUUUUUUUGGGAGGGGGGCAAAGAUAGUGGAAUGGUUUGUCAUUUCUUUUUUUUUUUUUUUAUUUAAUAGCCUUUUAUUUACAGGAUAUAUACAUGGGUAACUUUACACGGUUUGUCAUUUCUUAAUAAGGUCACACAGUAAUUAAGUAUCUGAGACCAGAUUUGAUUCCAGUUCUCCUAAUUCCAGACCCUUAUCCACUGAGCCACCUAGCUGCCUCCCUUUGAUACUGAUAACUACACACUAUUACUUAGUAGUUCCUUUUUCCACUCUUGGAUUCAAAAACUUUACACUCUUAUCACCCUCUUCCUUUUUCUCCCCUUAUUUCUUAUCCUUAUUCCUUCCCUUAAGAUGGGUGUUCCCUCUUGAGAGUAUGCUAGUGGCUCUUCUCUCUCCACUUUCUCCCCUUUAAAAAUCUCAUUCAUAUCUACAGCUAUCAUAGUCUUUACCAAAGCAUUGAUCUGAUCAUGUCACCACCAUCCCCAUUCAGUAAAUUUCAGCUCUUUUUCAGGAUCAAAAUCAAAAUCCUCUAUUCAGUUAUUACAACCAUUCACACACUGAUCCCUUCCUACCUUCCCAAUCUUCCUACACUUUAUUCCCUUUCACAUUCUCUGUGAUCAAGGAACACUGCCUUCCUUGCUGUAUGUACCUCACACAAGACAUUUAAUCUCCUGACUCUUGGCAUUUUCAGUGAGUAUCCCCUAUGCCUAGAAUAUUCUCCUUCCUCACCUUUGCCUACCAGAUUCCCUGGCUUCCUUCAAGUUUCAACUAAAAUCUCCUUUUAUGCAAGAAGUUAUUCCAUAUUCUCUUUAAUCCUGCCUUCCUUGGGAGAUUAUCUCCCAUUUGUGCUGUAUAGAUCUUGUUUGUUUAUGGUUUUAAUGUUUUCUCCCUCAUCAGACUGUGAGUUCCUUGAGAGAAGGGCCUGUUUUGCCUUUCUUAGUAUCCUCAGCACUUAACACAAUGCCAAACACAUAGUAAGUAUAUUUAUUAAAUAUGUAUUUAAUAAUGAGUAUUAUUUAAUGAUAGUAAUUAUUUAAUUAACAAGUAUUUUUUAAAUACUUGUUGAUUGAUUUAAACUCCAGCCUUUCCACAAGUGACUCCCAAAUCUAUAUCUUCAAUCCUGACCUAUAUCCAGACCUGUUUUUUUCCUAACAAUCUACAGGAUAGCUUUAUCUUAAUUUUCUACUAAAAGCUCAAACUGAACAUGCUCCAAUCCAAAAUCAUUAUAUUUGACUCCAUGGCUAAAACCAUGGGGUUAUCUCUGACUCUUCCCUCUCAAAUCCAAUAAGCUGCCAACUCAUUUCCACUUUUCAGUUCAUCCCUGCUAGAAUAAUCUUUGUUUUUUAUAAAAAGUGCUCACGCCUUCACUCUGAAAAAUCUGCACUGGAUCCCGAUUGCCUCCAGAGUGAAAUCUAGACUUCUUUGCAAUUCCAAGCAUUCAAAAUCUUUCACAAUCAGGCUUAUCUGAUAUUUUGUUGGAGUUCACGUCCAACUCUUCCUGCCCCCCCCCCCUUUUUUUUUUUGGCAAAGAUACUAGAACGAUUUACCAUUUCCUUCUUCGAUUCAUUUUACAACUGAACUAAGGUGAACAGGCAGAAUUAAGUAACCCAGAGUGACACCAAAGUGUUUCAUAUUACUGUUACCUUUCUGAAUUAAAUCAGAUUAUGUUUGGGACUAUUCUGAAUGGUUCUGGGACCCUAAAUUUAAAGAUCAAAGGGAUAUAAAAUACCACCUAAUCUAAUGUCUUAAAUUGCAUAUAAGGAAAAGGAGACCCAAGGAGCUAAAGGGAUCCAAAGUCAGAGGGAGAAAUAAUAAUAGCUAACAUUUAUAUAGCUCUUAUUAUGUGCCAGGCACGCUGCUAAACUCUUUACAAUUAUUAUUUGAUUUGAUUUUCACAACAACCCUGAGAAGGAAAUGCUAUUGUUAUGCCCAUUUUAGAGAGGACAAAAUUGAGAUAAACACCCAAUGAAUAUCUGGGGCAGAUUUGAACUCGGAUCCACCUAACAGCAGACCCUGUCUCCUGUACCACCUAGCCGCCCACACAGGAGCCAAGGUCUUCUGAAUCCAAACUCUCUGAGCUCUCUGGGCUGCUCCUGCCUCUCACCGGGCAGCUCUCCGCUCCCUUACGGUCUUUCUCUCACCCCUUCUUCAUCCACCCUUUAAAGUUCAAUUGCAAUGGCUCCCACUUCGGGAGGGCCUCCCCAACCUCCAUCCCGACGCGCGCUUCCCUGAUGGAUGCCUGCUUUCGUGCCUCGUUCUCUUCCCGGACCCCACACUCCGUGGGAGUUUCGUGCCUCGUUCUCUUCCCGGACCCCACACUCCGUGGGAGUUUCGUGCCUCGUUCUCUUCCCGGACCACACACUCCGUGGGAGUUUCGUGCCUCGUUCUCUUCCCGGACCACACACUCCGUGGGAGUGGGGACUAGGGCUCUGUCCCCUGGGACCUGGCCUGGGGCGGUCCUGCACUAGCAUCUUUGUUAAUGAAUGCGUGGGUACUUAGAGCAGUUACACGCGUGGUUUUGUAACUUUCCCCUCUUAGCGGGGAGACUGGGCUGCGGCUGGGAUGCUCGCAGGGCCACCUGUC